RNAcentral lists this long non-coding RNA (1258 nucleotides) under Equus asinus (donkey). RNAcentral's name for it is "lncRNA (ENSEASG00005038015.1)". Lineage: Eukaryota; Metazoa; Chordata; Mammalia; Perissodactyla; Equidae. The record is from RNAcentral.
GGAUUGGCUCUCGCGGACGCUGACGGACAGGGCAGGGGAGGGCCAAAGCCCGGUCUGACGGGCGCGCGCGGGGGCGCGAAAGCACGAGAGCGCGGCUGCGCGUGCGCGAGCGGCGGGGCUUUCUCCCGAGCCGUCGGAGGGAGCCGGAGCGCUUCUCCAGAGUUGGUGAUCGAUUGGUCGUAAUCCAACAUGCAGAAGUGAGUGAGUGGUGAAAAGCAGCAGAGCUGAUGGGUUGUGAGGAUGUAAGUGCGUUUGAAGGCUCUCACACCCUCUACUCCAGGAUCUAGACUGACAAGGAACCAGCUAUGAAAAAGGCAGCAGAUUUCUAGAACAUUCUUCCCUGUUAAGUAGUUGGCAUACGCAGAGUGCUGUGAAACAUCUCCAUUGCUUCCUGAACUCCAGGGUCUAGAACUCCAGAUGAUAGUAUCCUCUGCCUCUUUCACCCAGGUGAGAAUCUGAAAGAUUAGAAUGAAGUCCCACCUGAGGUGGGGAGCUGGAACGGUCCCUGAUCAAAGCCUGAGCACACUGCCUUCUUGGUAGGGGGAGUAGAAUCCUGCACCUGGCCAGGAGAACGCAGGGAUGCUGGUUCCUUAGGCUGUAGUACACUUUCAGGGUCUCAAAGAAGCUCCUCUGUCUGUGAAGGGGCUUGAAGAAGCAUCUUGUUUUACAUCUGAUGAAAAUGGAGGGAGCACUUCUUUUGACAGGAAACUUCACUUCUUGUUACUGAAAACCGUCACAACAGUCAUUAUGUCUGGCUUCCAGAGAUUUCCUGGAGUUAGGAGAACAAUAGAUAGUUAAAAUGGCAAUAUUGAGAGCAUUCGGUGGUUUUAUAAUGAGUACCUAGGGAAAUUUUUUCUCUUGAGUUUGUAAGAAUAAAGUAGGAAUAUUUGGGAGGUUGGGAAAAAUGUAGAAAUGAACUUUAAUGCUUUAUUUUUAAAAAUGUUCUUUCUAACCUUUGGAAGUAAAAAAUUAAUUUUAUACCAUGGUUCCCAUUAUCUUGUUACUGAGUUGACGAUGACUAAGGGAAACUUCCUUUCUUCUGUGCCUAUCUGCAUUGUAAGUAAUCCCCCAAAAAGAUACAUUUAUAUCUUUGUGUCUUUUUUGAUUAAAUGUCAUUCAGAAUUCUUGAAUCUGUUUAUUGCUUCUUAACUUUUAUAUUCGUACAGGGCUUCUGAGGCUUAUGAUUUUGACUUUAGCAGCAGGAGUUAUUUCUCUUCUUUCACCUCCAAAAACAAAAAACACUCAAGCGUUAGAAAGA